RNAcentral lists this long non-coding RNA (1307 nucleotides) under Phoenix dactylifera (date palm). RNAcentral describes it as "long non-coding RNA (PDAC_LNC000423)". Lineage: Eukaryota; Viridiplantae; Streptophyta; Magnoliopsida; Arecales; Arecaceae. The record is from RNAcentral.
UCCUGCUGAGUGCUUCAGCAAGAAGCUUGUGCAUUUUUCCUAUCAAAAAUCUCUACUGUACAGACCCCUAAUUGAGGCCUUGCUUAUCAUCCCAGAAAAUGCUAUCUAUCAAAAAUCUCUUUGGGUACGCUAUAUUGCUUUGUAAUAUAACCCUUCGGUAGAAUGCUUUCUGCCUAUCUAUUUAAUUAGCACGCUGUCUUUUUCGUAAAACUUUGGCAAUCAAAAGAGAGUUCUAUGCUUAUAUUCCUGUCUGUUGUUGCCUUUCUUCAAUUCAUGUACUUCAAUGAGCCUGCAUCAUAAUCAUUUACGAGGUAUUGAAAUUUCCUGUUAAAAAGCACUUGCACCUGCUUAGUUAUUUAACGAAUAAUUAUCCUGCUGCCUUCCCCCGUUAGGAUCAGUUAUCAACUCAUCCUGACUGCAGGUAAUCUUUCUUAAGUUUAUAUUCAUAGUUGGUGUCAAAAAGUCUAACCAUAACCAUCAAACCUUUUCUGUACUAUUUUGGUUGGCUUUGUUAAUCCUCAUUUGGUAAUCAUUCCUUUCUCGAGCUACCUUUAAUAUUAGAUUUCUAUUAAUUUGUGUAAUUUUUUUUUGACCUGUGGCAUUAUUUAUCUUUCUUUUUAAACUGGUCAGCUUAUUCUUGAACUCAGCUAAAGGCUAUCUUACAAUUGCAUUGGUCUCUCAGCUUGCUCUCGAGCUUGGCCUAGUGCUGAAAAAUAUCAAGUAGCCAUGGUAUUUUUGCAGACAAGUUCUGGAAGCUGUUAGGAGUGGUUUCUCUGUAUUGAUAUAUUUAUAAAUCUUGUUGUAGCAGGCGUUUCUUUUCUUAUCUUUUCUUUUCCUUUUGUUUUUUUGGAUCUAUACCCAGAAUUUGAACCCUUGGCGAGCUGCUAGCUAAGAAGUCCGAACCAACUGAUAGCAGUUGUUGGCAGAGAGUGGCCGUUUCACCCUCUGCGAAGUGCAUUAAUUGAAACUAUACCAUUCAUGUUACAUGAUGUAUUCACACAAGUUACUAUAUCUUCUGAAGUUAGAAGCUGGGCUAUAGACCUUGCUGAAAGCUUAAGUGAUCUCCUACACAUUCAGCAUUUAUGCAUAACACCACUGCAAGUCUUGCAAAUUUAGUUUCAUUGAAAGCAAAUCACCUGCACACACGGGUAGCCUUUGCACAAUACCUUGUGCAUUUUAGUUUAUUUGGAAUGAAUAUGAGUGAAUAUGCACAAUGAUGAUGAAAUUGCAUCCUCCAAGCCUCAGUUGUCGGUUUUCUUUCCCUCUUCCUUUUAUCCGACUCCAAUCCCUUCUCUUAAAUUCCAACU